This 467-nucleotide ribosomal RNA is filed under the name uncultured bacterium. Its description in RNAcentral is "partial 16S ribosomal RNA". It matches the Rfam family "Bacterial small subunit ribosomal RNA", at positions 28 to 507 of the family's 1533-position model. The record is from RNAcentral.
GACGAACGCUGGCGGCGUGCUUAACACAUGCAAGUCGAACGGAAAGGCCUAGCUUGCUGGGUCCUCGAGUGGCGAACGGGUGAGUAACACGUGGGUGAUCUGCCCCUGACUUUGGGAUAAGCCUGGGAAACUGGGUCUAAUACCGGAUAUUCAUUUUUCCUCGCAUGGGGAUUUGUGGAAAGCUUUUGCGGUUGGGGAUGGGCCCGCGGCCUAUCAGCUUGUUGGUGGGGUAAUGGCCUACCAAGGCGACGACGGGUAGCCGACCUGAGAGGGUGAUCGGCCACACUGGGACUGAGACACGGCCCAGACUCCUACGGGAGGCAGCAGUGGGGAAUAUUGCACAAUGGGCGCAAGCCUGAUGCAGCGACGCCGCGUGAGGGAUGACGGCCUUCGGGUUGUAAACCUCUUUCAGCUCCGACGAAGCGCAAGUGACGGUAGGAGCAGAAGAAGCACCGGCCAACUACGUG